RNAcentral lists this ribosomal RNA (666 nucleotides) under Salmonella enterica subsp. enterica serovar Anatum. RNAcentral's name for it is "partial 23S ribosomal RNA". It matches the Rfam family "Bacterial large subunit ribosomal RNA", at positions 593 to 1258 of the family's 2925-position model. Lineage: Bacteria; Pseudomonadati; Pseudomonadota; Gammaproteobacteria; Enterobacterales; Enterobacteriaceae. The record is from RNAcentral.
GUGACUGCGUACCUUUUGUAUAAUGGGUCAGCGACUUAUAUUCUGUAGCAAGGUUAACCGAAUAGGGGAGCCGGAGGGAAACCGAGUCUUAAUUGGGCGUUAAGUUGCAGGGUAUAGACCCGAAACCCGGUGAUCUAGCCAUGGGCAGGUUGAAGGUUGGGUAACACUAACUGGAGGACCGAACCGACUAAUGUUGAAAAAUUAGCGGAUGACCUGUGGCUGGGGGUGAAAGGCCAAUCAAACCGGGAGAUAGCUGGUUCUCCCCGAAAGCUAUUUAGGUAGCGCCUCGUGAAUUCAUCUCCGGGGGUAGAGCACUGUUUCGGCUAGGGGGCCAUCCCGGCUUACCAACCCGAUGCAAACUGCGAAUACCGGAGAAUGUUAUCACGGGAGACACACGGCGGGUGCUAACGUCCGUCGUGAAGAGGGAAACAACCCAGACCGCCAGCUAAGGUCCCAAAGUCAUGGUUAAGUGGGAAACGAUGUGGGAAGGCCCAGACAGCCAGGAUGUUGGCUUAGAAGCAGCCAUCAUUUAAAGAAAGCGUAAUAGCUCACUGGUCGAGUCGGCCUGCGCGGAAGAUGUAACGGGGCUAAACCAUGCACCGAAGCUGCGGCAGCGACACUCAGGUGUUGUUGGGUAGGGGAGCGUUCUGUAAGCCUGUGAAGGUG